This is a non-coding RNA of Paramuricea clavata, 418 nucleotides long. The record is from the annotation of a GenBank genome assembly. NCBI's taxonomy places the organism in Eukaryota, Metazoa, Cnidaria, Anthozoa, Malacalcyonacea, Plexauridae.
UUUCUGACUUGAUGUCUGACUAGCAUGUGUGACUUUCUCAGUUCUGGCCUGUAUAAUAAGAUCCAGUGCAACCCUAUAAAGCCUAUGAUCUAGAUACUUUGCUUAUACCUACACUUGUGAGUUGUGAUUGGUACCCAACAUUCAAGAAGUACAAUCCUAUUUCUAGUGGCUCAAGAAUCCUGUCAUUAAUAGUCAGAAAUCUAGGUAGAAAUCGUAUUACCAGAUAAGUUGCCCACAGUAUCCUGAGCUUCUGGCACCCCUAGGCUAUUUUCUACUGGCACCCUAGAAUAUUCAUACUAUAAUAACCAGACUCUAGUAUAUAUAAAUACAAAGAAUAUAGAUAGAAGCACAUUGUUUCAUGCCUUUACACCUGUAUAUACACUGAAUUAAAUAAAACAAAAUUUGUUUAACAAAAACC